RNAcentral lists this ribosomal RNA (253 nucleotides) under uncultured bacterium. RNAcentral's name for it is "partial 16S ribosomal RNA". It matches the Rfam family "Bacterial small subunit ribosomal RNA", at positions 524 to 776 of the family's 1533-position model. The record is from RNAcentral.
UACGGGGGGGGCAAGCGUUGUUCGGAAUUACUGGGCGUAAAGGGCGCGUAGGCGGCCUGACAAGUGGAAGGUGAAAUCCCUCGGCUCAACUGAGGAACUGCCCUCCAAACUGUUUGGCUUGAGACCGGGAGAGGUGAGUGGAAUUCCCAGUGUAGCGGUGAAAUGCGUAGAUAUUGGGAGGAACACCAGUGGCGAAGGCGGCUCACUGGACCGGUACUGACGCUGAGGCGCGAAAGCGUGGGGAGCAAACGGG